This 157-nucleotide ribosomal RNA is filed under the name uncultured fungus. Its description in RNAcentral is "5.8S ribosomal RNA". It matches the Rfam family "5.8S ribosomal RNA". Rfam says of the family: 5.8S ribosomal RNA (5.8S rRNA) is a component of the large subunit of the eukaryotic ribosome. It is transcribed by RNA polymerase I as part of the 45S precursor that also contains 18S and 28S rRNA. The record is from RNAcentral. Lineage: Eukaryota; Fungi.
GAACUUUCAACAACGGAUCUCUUGGUUCUGGCAUCGAUGAAGAACGCAGCGAAAUGCGAUAAGUAAUGUGAAUUGCAGAAUUCAGUGAAUCAUCGAAUCUUUGAACGCACAUUGCGCCCCGUGGUAUUCCGCGGGGCAUGCCUGUUCGAGCGUCAUU